UACGUGUGGUCCGAGCGUUGUCCGGAAUGACUGGGCGUAAAGGGUGCGUAGGCGGAUGCAUAAGUCAGGUGUGAAAUCCCCGAGCUCAACUUGGGAAGUGCGCUUGAAACUAUGCGUCUCGAGACUGUCAGGGGUAGGCGGAAUUCCCGGAGUAGCGGUGAAAUGCGUAGAUAUCGGGAAGAACACCGGUGGCGAAGGCGGCCUACUGGGGCAGUUCUGACGCUGAAGCACGAAAGCGUGGGGAGCAAACAGG
This 253-nucleotide ribosomal RNA is filed under the name uncultured prokaryote. RNAcentral describes it as "partial 16S ribosomal RNA". It matches the Rfam family "Bacterial small subunit ribosomal RNA", at positions 524 to 776 of the family's 1533-position model. The record is from RNAcentral.